Molecule: transfer RNA, 72 nt
Filed under: Camelus bactrianus (Bactrian camel)
Lineage: Eukaryota; Metazoa; Chordata; Mammalia; Artiodactyla; Camelidae
Also listed under: 2 other names
Rfam family: tRNA
About the family: Transfer RNA (tRNA) molecules are approximately 80 nucleotides in length.
Source: Rfam by way of RNAcentral
AGGGAAAUAGCUCAGCAGUAGAGAACAUGCUUAGCAUGCAUGAGGUCCUGGGUUCAAUCCCCAGUAACUCCA